This 497-nucleotide ribosomal RNA is filed under the name uncultured bacterium. Its description in RNAcentral is "partial 16S ribosomal RNA". It matches the Rfam family "Bacterial small subunit ribosomal RNA", at positions 28 to 507 of the family's 1533-position model. The record is from RNAcentral.
GAUGAACGCUGGCGGCGUGCCUAAUACAUGCAAGUCGAGCGAACGGACGAGAAGCUUGCUUCUCUGAUGUUAGCGGCGGACGGGUGAGUAACACGUGGAUAACCUACCUAUAAGACUGGGAUAACUUCGGGAAACCGGAGCUAAUACCGGAUGAUAUUUUGAACCGCAUGGUUCAAAAGUGAAAGACGGUCUUGCUGUCACUUAUAGAUGGAUCCGCGCUGCAUUAGCUAGUUGGUAAGGUAACGGCUUACCAAGGCAACGAUGCAUAGCCGACCUGAGAGGGUGAUCGGCCACACUGGAACUGAGACACGGUCCAGACUCCUACGGGAGGCAGCAGUAGGGAAUCUUCCGCAAUGGGCGAAAGCCUGACGGAGCAACGCCGCGUGAGUGAUGAAGGUCUUCGGAUCGUAAAGCUCUGUUGUUAGGAAAGAACAUAUGUGUAAGUAACUGUGCACAUCUUGACGGUACCUAAUCAGAAAGCCACGGCUAACUACGUG